This 306-nucleotide ribosomal RNA is filed under the name uncultured bacterium. RNAcentral describes it as "bacterial SSU rRNA". It matches the Rfam family "Bacterial small subunit ribosomal RNA", at positions 29 to 325 of the family's 1533-position model. The record is from RNAcentral.
AACGAACGCUGGCGGCGCGCCUAAUACAUGCAAGUCGAGCGAGAAGACGUAGCAAUACGUUUGUAAAGCGGCGAACGGGUGAGGAAUACAUGGGUAACCUACCCUCGAGUCGGGGAAUAACUAGCCGAAAGGUUAGCUAAUACCGCGUACGCUCCUUGGACUUCGGUUCAGGGAGGAAAGCGAUACCGUGGGUAUCGCGCUCAUGGACGGGCUCAUGUCCUAUCAGCUUGUUGGUGAGGAACGGCUCACCAAGGCUUCGACGGGUAGCUGGUCUGAGAGGACGAUCAGCCACACUGGCACUGCGAC